GUUUACCGUCACAGCGGGUACCUUUACAGAGGUACUUUAUAACAUCUGGUGACCUGUCCCCGUUUCUUCAGACAGCGGAGCUACUGGAGUUAGCUUAGCAUGUUAGCUGGAAACAGCCUGACGGGGGACGGAGCGUAGCAUCAUCGCAGCUGGUCAGAGUGAGUGUGUGCUGGAGAGCACAGAGGCGUGACGGAGUGUGUGUGGUUGCGUGAACAUGUCUGAAGUUUUCAAGCAGAGAGCUCUGGUGAAGCGGAUACUGACCGCGGCUGCUGGAGAGAUCUUUGUUCUGUUUGAAAGAACUGUAGCGGAGUACGAGGAGGAACUAUGUCGUUCAGAACAGGAGAACCAGCGACAGCAUAAACUACUGGACACUGUUUUCAGCCCCUAAGGUUUUUGUUGCACAGAGCAGACAUCCAGCAACUGUUGAUGAGUGAAGAAGAGCAGCAGGAGUGGAGCUCCAGUCUGGAC
Seriola dumerili (greater amberjack) is the source of this 468-nucleotide long non-coding RNA. RefSeq lists it as uncharacterized. The transcript is spliced from 3 exons. The record is from RefSeq and is a predicted model, not a curated record. Lineage: Eukaryota; Metazoa; Chordata; Actinopteri; Carangiformes; Carangidae.